This is a long non-coding RNA of Pieris napi, 567 nucleotides long. RefSeq lists it as uncharacterized. The transcript is spliced from 2 exons. The record is from RefSeq and is a predicted model, not a curated record. NCBI's taxonomy places the organism in Eukaryota, Metazoa, Arthropoda, Insecta, Lepidoptera, Pieridae.
AAAAUGAGAGAAUGAAAUCCACUUUGGCCAUCUUUUUCGUUAUUUGCAUUUUGCGCUUGAAGUUUGAAGUGUCAAAUUCAUUUCGAAGUUUGAACUUUGAAGUGUAAUAUAAAUAACACGAUAUAAAUAAAGUUGUUUUUCUGUGUUUAAUACGGUUUACAGUUUAAACCUUCAACAAUACUAAAGUAUAUAAAUAACGAUGUUCACAAAUAGCCAACGGUCAAACAAAGACCGUACCUUACCUUCGUUGAAACGAAAACAAACAAGAGAGCAUGAUUUGUCCAAUUAUGCUAAGGAAGAGCAUCAAAAACAUUUGCUUUACAAAGAAGAGGCUCACCAAAAAUCCAUGCUGCACAAAGAGGAGGCGCACCAAAAAGCGAUGCAGCAGAUGGAAGAAAGGCACAAUAAAUAUAUGGAGCAGCAAGAAGAGUUGCAUCAAAUUGAGGUAGAAUGCAAGAAGAAACGAUUAGAAAAUAUUAAAUUGCUACUUUAGGGUAUAAAUUAUGUCAUGUUUUUUUAACAAAAAUAGUUUGUAUUUAAGUUAUGAUUAAACAGUUUAUUAAUCAA